UAGAGUUUGAUCAUGGCUCAGAUUGACCCCUUGAGGCAUGCCUUACACAUGCAAGUCGAACGGCAGCACGGGCUUCGGCCUGGUGGCGAGUGGCGAACGGGUGAGUAAUGCAUCGGAACGUACCGUGUAAUGGGGGAUAACGUAGCGAAAGUUACGCUAAUACCGCAUACGCCCUGAGGGGGAAAGCGGGGGAUCGUAAGACCUCGCGUUAUACGAGCGGCCGAUGUCGGAUUAGCUAGUUGGUGGGGUAAAGGCCUACCAAGGCGACGAUCCGUAGCGGGUCUGAGAGGAUGAUCCGCCACACUGGGACUGAGACACGGCCCAGACUCCUACGGGAGGCAGCAGUGGGGAAUUUUGGACAAUGGGGGCAACCCUGAUCCAGCCAUGCCGCGUGAGUGAAGAAGGCCUUCGGGUUGUAAAGCUCUUUCGGCCGGGAAGAAAUCGUAUGGGUUAAUACCCUGUGCGGAUGACGGUACCGGCAUAAGAAGCACCGGCUAACUACGUGCCAGCAGCCGCGGUAAUA
This 523-nucleotide ribosomal RNA is filed under the name uncultured bacterium. Its description in RNAcentral is "bacterial SSU rRNA". It matches the Rfam family "Bacterial small subunit ribosomal RNA", at positions 1 to 525 of the family's 1533-position model. The record is from RNAcentral.